UCAUCGUAGCUUAACUCACAAAGCAUAACACUGAAAAUGUUAAUAUGGACAAAGAGUCCCGAAUGAC
RNAcentral lists this transfer RNA (67 nucleotides) under Crocodylus palustris (marsh crocodile). RNAcentral describes it as "tRNA-Phe". The record is from RNAcentral. Lineage: Eukaryota; Metazoa; Chordata; Crocodylia; Crocodylidae.